Molecule: non-coding RNA, 119 nt
Organism: Picea glauca (white spruce)
Lineage: Eukaryota; Viridiplantae; Streptophyta; Pinopsida; Pinales; Pinaceae
Source: Rfam
GAGUGUGAUCAUACCAAUGUUAAUGCACUGUAUCUGAUCGGAACUCCGCAAUUAAGCGUGCUUGGGCUAGAGUAGUACUAGGAUGGGUGACCUCUCGAGAAGUCCUAGUGUUGCACCCU